This 447-nucleotide ribosomal RNA is filed under the name Neosisyphus mirabilis. RNAcentral's name for it is "partial 16S ribosomal RNA". The record is from RNAcentral. Lineage: Eukaryota; Metazoa; Arthropoda; Insecta; Coleoptera; Scarabaeidae.
CAUGUCUUUUUGAUUAUAAUUUAAAGUCUAACCUGCCCAAUGAGGUGUUAAAUGGCCGCAAUAUUUUGAUUGUGCUAAGGUAGCAUAAUAAUUAGUUUUUUAAUUGAGAACUAGUAUGAAUGGUUGGACGAGAAAGUGACUGUCUCAAUUUAAUUUAAAUUAGAAUUUUAUUUUUAAGUUAAAAAGCUUAAAUAAAUUUAAAAGACGAGAAGACCCUAUAGAGUUUUAUAAAAAUUUUUAUUUUUAUUAAUUUAAGUAUUUUUAUAUUAUUAUUAGUAAAUUUUUUAUUUAGUUGGGGUGACUAAAAAAUUUAAUAAACUUUUUUUUUAUUUUAACAUUAAUUUAUGAAUGUUUGAUCCAUAUGUUUAUGAUUAAAAGAUUAAAUUACCUUAGGGAUAACAGCGUAAUUUUUUUUGAGAGUUCUUAUCGAAAAAAAAGAUUGCGACC